AGUGAACGCUGGCGGUAGGCCUAACACAUGCAAGUCGAACGGCAGCACAGUAAGAGCUUGCUCUUACGGGUGGCGAGUGGCGGACGGGUGAGGAAUACAUCGGAAUCUACUUUUUCGUGGGGGAUAACGUAGGGAAACUUACGCUAAUACCGCAUACGACCUACGGGUGAAAGCAGGGGAUCUUCGGACCUUGCGCGAUUGAAUGAGCCGACGUCGCAUUAGCUAGUUGGCGGGGUAAAGGCCCACCAAGGCGACGAUCCGUAGCUGGUCUGAGAGGAUGAUCAGCCACACUGGAACUGAGACACGGUCCAGACUCCUACGGGAGGCAGCAGUGGGGAAUAUUGGACAAUGGGCGCAAGCCUGAUCCAGCCAUACCGCGUGGGUGAAGAAGGCCUUCGGGUUGUAAAGCCCUUUUGUUGGGAAAGAAAAGCAGCAGGUUAAUACCCCGCUGUUCUGACGGUACCCAAAGAAUAAGCACCGGCUAACUUCGUG
This 492-nucleotide ribosomal RNA is filed under the name uncultured bacterium. RNAcentral's name for it is "partial 16S ribosomal RNA". It matches the Rfam family "Bacterial small subunit ribosomal RNA", at positions 29 to 507 of the family's 1533-position model. The record is from RNAcentral.